GUCGUCAGCUCGUGUCGUGAGAUGUUGGGUUAAGUCCCGCAACGAGCGCAACCCUUGUCAUUAGUUGCCAUCAUUUAGUUGGGCACUCUAAUGAGACUGCCGGUGACAAACCGGAGGAAAGGUGGGGAUGACGUCAAGUCCUCAUGGCCCUUAUGGGUAGGGCUUCACACGUCAUACAAUGGUCGGUACAGAGGGUUGCCAAGCCGCGAGGUGGAGCCAAUCCCUUAAAGCCGAUCGUAGUCCGGAUCGUAGUCUGCAACUCGACUACGUGAAGUCGGAAUCGCUAGUAAUCGCAGAUCAGCAUGCUGCGGUGAAUACGUUCCCGGGUCUU
This 331-nucleotide ribosomal RNA is filed under the name uncultured Thauera sp. Its description in RNAcentral is "bacterial SSU rRNA". It matches the Rfam family "Bacterial small subunit ribosomal RNA", at positions 1051 to 1382 of the family's 1533-position model. Lineage: Bacteria; Pseudomonadati; Pseudomonadota; Betaproteobacteria; Rhodocyclales; Zoogloeaceae. The record is from RNAcentral.